ACAGUCCCAUGGAAGAACCUAAUUUUACAGAACCAAGCCAGGCCAAAAGCAGUGUUCAACCUGUGGCUAGUCCUACAGGACAGAUUACCAACCAAGGAUCGACUACAUAGCUGGGGAAUGGGAAUUGAUCAGCAAUGCCCCCUAUGCCAAAUCCUAUCUGAAACAAGAGAUCAUCUCUUCAUGGAAUGCCCUGUCACUGUGGAUCUAUGGGGAAAAGUAAUGAAUUGGCUACGGGAAUAAUACAUACCUAGUAGCAGUUGGAACCAGAAAGUGCAAUGGAUGAUUACCAAAACCAAAGGACGAACAUGUUGAGC
This 314-nucleotide long non-coding RNA is filed under the name Nicotiana benthamiana. RNAcentral's name for it is "long non-coding RNA (NBEN_LNC021656)". The record is from RNAcentral. Lineage: Eukaryota; Viridiplantae; Streptophyta; Magnoliopsida; Solanales; Solanaceae.